Small nucleolar RNA from Amphilophus citrinellus (Midas cichlid), 76 nucleotides. The record is from Ensembl. Lineage: Eukaryota; Metazoa; Chordata; Actinopteri; Cichliformes; Cichlidae.
GUUGUCUGUGAUGUUUCACUAGUUUGAGGUUCUUGGCCCAUGAAAAAAUCUUACAUGCACUACCAUCUGAGGCAUC